AAUGGGGCUGGCUGAGCACCGUGGGUCGGCGAGGGCCCGCCAAGGAAGGAGCGACCGACCGAGCCAGGCGCCCUCCGCAGACCUCCGCGCAGCGGCCGCGGGCGCGAGGGGAGGGGUCUGGAGCUCCCUCCGGCUGCCUGUCCCGCACCGGAGCCCGUGGGGUGGGGAGGUGUGCAGCCUGUGACAGACAGGGGCUUAGAGAUGCAAACAGACUCAGGGAGAGAAACAGAAGCUGAUUCUGUGACAGAAGCAGAUCUGUGCAGCACAGAUGCGGUGUGCGUGGGGAGGGGGUCGCCUGGGAGCGCAUUGCGGAGUGCUUGUGUGUGCAGAUUUUUCUCUGGGCUCAGGACUCAUUGUAUGUGGGUCAACACCUUCCUCCGUGACUGUGUUUUUGUUCUGAGCUGAGUUUUUUGGUUUGCCCUUAAAAAAAUAAUAAUUUGGCAUCCAGAGACUGGCAGACUGCCUCAGGGCCUGGACUGCGGAUAUAUUGUGUUCUGCUUGAGGUUUGGGGAGGAGGGCAGGCGGUAGGAAGGGAGAGGGGGAGCUGUUUGUCACACUUUGCUGUAGAGCUGAGAGCACCUGACAAGCUUAAGGAAGUCGUUGGGCUAUGUGGACAAGAAGGAGCCAGCUCCCAGCGGGUUCACAAGCUCUAUCGGAGUUGAAAGCGUGGUCAUGGCUCUAAGGAGCACCUCACGCCCUCCCUGUAGCUGUUAUUGCAGUUUCAGGCAGAGAUCCAGGAGCUGCAGAGGAAGGGAGAGGCACAAUAACCUACAUGGACCCAAGGGAGACAUGUGUUCCUUUAAAAAUGUGAACAGAAGGAAAAACAGAAUGUGUGCAACUGGGGGUCUGAGGAAAGACUGUUUUGAAAGAGGCUGUCAGGGAAUGGAAAGGGUUAAGCUUUUCAUCCUGAAGAACCUGCUUCCCAAAUCAGGCCUUCCUCCCAUCACUAGACCCUGAGCAGCAGCUGGUCCUAGAGACCCCCCUCGUACUGCGCUGCCACAGUCUCAUCCCAUUUCCAGCUCUGUAUUAACCACCAAGCUGCAGCGGAUGGGGCAAGACCUAAGCUCAUUAAUUUCCAGGUGGAGGAAAUGGAGGAGGGGCAGGUCCCUGCAGUAGAGGGAGGAGCAGAGAAAGGAGGCCAAGAGCUGGAUCCUUCUGCCCAGGAAGCCUGCUGCAUCCCUUCCCCCGAGCAUGGCAGAGGCCUGGCUUUGCAAGGCCAAGGCCAUAAGGGAUGCUUAGGAGAUUAAUUUGAUUCCUGACACAAUAAUCAAGCCCUAAGAGUCUCCACUGAAGCUUACUGAGGACUUCUUUCCUCUCCAAAGCCUCAGUCUAGCCUGCUAAAUAAAUUAGUAUUCAGUGAUGCCUUGGAUCAGGGCCCCUCCCCGGCCUCAGUUUCCCCAAAUAUUUAUUAAGUACCUACUGUGUGCAAUCCUUGUGUAAUUAUUAACUCUUAGGCUCUUCAUUUGCCCUCCUAAAGCAGUGUUUAGAGUCAGGCAGAGGUUAAGUGUGUUGCACCUCACCUAGAUACUUCCAGAACCUUCUCUGGGUCUGCAGAAUGUGGCACAACCUGCUUGCCCCCGCAGAGAGAAAGCUGCAGUGCACAUCCUGCAGACUGCAGGUGCUGGGCUGCCUCUGGAGUCCCAGAAGGCAAGCUUGGCUGCAGGACAGAAAGGGAGAACAGCUUCUCUCACCCCUGAGCCUUCACAAGCCCUUGUCUAUUUGCCGUUGCCUUCAAAAUAUACCUCCCCCGAAACCAGUAGCUUUCUGAGUCCUGGUGUCCCCUCCGCCCUUUCUGGACAGGUUUGGGAAGAAGAAAGCAGUCAGUGCUGGGCCUUAUUGGGGUGUGAAGCGCCUUGCUCUGCCCCUUCUGCUCACUGUGAAGGCCGCUGGAUGCUUCUCUUAGGCAUGGUUUAAGCCUCCGAUUACUAAACCCCUUGCCCCACAAACGUCCACAUUGACGAGCCUCUUUUUAGUAACUGCUUCCCCGUAAUUCCUUCAGAGGUUGCUGUACCCUUCGCUGAUGUGCUGCCCUCCUGUAAAACCUCCAGAUGCCUUCCCACGUAAUGCCCCUUUCAGAUGCUUUAAGCUGAGAGCUUAAACCACAGGUACCAUGGCUGACGCCUGCCAGGUUUCUGCUGCAGAUAAUCUAUGAUGGGAGGGGCAUAUUUUUUACUUCAUUACUUAUGUAAACUCUUGUUCCAGAAAGCUUUAAUGUGUGUGGGAGUGUUCUGGGUCUAUUAGGUCUGUGCGCAUGGGUGUGGGCAUUUGCCUGUGUCCACCGGGUGGGUCUCAUUAUGAAAUGUAUGUUUAUGUAGGGCUUUAAUGGCUGAAAAUGGCAAAGAGAUGAAUAGACCACUUGGCCCCAUGUGUAAUUGCCAGGCCCCUUCUGUGCUCAAAUGAGGUGUCCGAGUGAAGGUCAGCCCUUCCCUUCUGUAUUUGGGGCCUAUUUAUGCCACCAGUAAUUUUAUAAGAAAUCUGAAUAGUUCUCCCCUUUGAGUGCAUUUAACUCUUUAGUAUCUUCUCUCUUACCUAUUUGAGCCCCUCUAGCUACAGUCUGGCUUAAAUGAAAGGGGAAUUAUAUGCUUAAGAAAAAGUAGGACACGGUUGAGGCAGUUUGCUGACUGAAUACGCGAAGAAGGACCUGAUGGGCUCAUAUGCACCACUGCCAUCACAGUCCCCAUCGUGAUGCAAGCUUAUAUGAUUCUUGAGGUAACUCUACCAGAUACUUCCAGAUUUAGAAAUGUGUCAAAGGAAAAAUUGGUGAUACUCUUCUUUCCCCUGCCAGAAACAGCCCAGAUCUCCUCUUAAGCGGAAAAGAGAUUGACCUUCUAGCAGAGGCAAAGGUAAACUCCUGUAAGUUACUUCUGUUACCAAAGGGAGGGGGGCGGCUUUUGUGAAUGUAUGAGGAGCUUUUGCCAGAGAGAUAUUCGGAGGAGGGGUGUGCCCAUAUGCACACAUAUAUUUUCCCGCAUAACCGUAUCCAAUGCUAGCAUUUAGAGGAAGGCAUUUAGCCACCAAAAGUCCAUCCAUCUAUGCUGCUUCCACAGAGAAAACAUUUUCUCUUUCCUCCUCUUGAACUUACAUAAUAUCCUCCUCCCAUUCCAACCUUAGAAUGGAGUCUUCUGGGGGCAGCUGCAAAGCGUUCUCCCUAGGACAGAUGGAGCCUCCCUUUCCUCAUCUACUCUGUGGGUGGUUUCAGGGCCCACGAGUCAACAUGAGGAGUUGUGCUGGUGGUAUGUGUGUUGGAGGCUGGGCUGGCUGAUUCACAGUGACGAGGAUGUCAAUAAUAACAAGAAUGAGAAUGAUGGUACCUAAUAAAGACUUUUUUUCCCAA
Long non-coding RNA from Homo sapiens (human), 3334 nucleotides. Ensembl annotates it as MIR124-1 host gene. Its record names the gene MIR124-1HG. Lineage: Eukaryota; Metazoa; Chordata; Mammalia; Primates; Hominidae. The record is from Ensembl.